AGUGAACGCUGGCGGUAGGCCUAACACAUGCAAGUCGAACGGCAGCACAGUAAGAGCUUGCUCUUACGGGUGGCGAGUGGCGGACGGGUGAGGAAUACAUCGGAAUCUACUUUUUCGUGGGGGAUAACGUAGGGAAACUUACGCUAAUACCGCAUACGACCUACGGGUGAGAGCAGGGGAUCUUCGGACCUUGCGCGAUUGAAUGAGCCGAUGUCGGAUUAGCUAGUUGGCGGGGUAAAGGCCCACCAAGGCGACGAUCCGUAGCUGGUCUGAGAGGAUGAUCAGCCACACUGGAACUGAGACACGUUCCAGACUCCUACGGGAGGCAGCAGUGGGGAAUAUUGGACAAUGGGCGCAAGCCUGAUCCAGCCAUACCGCGUGGGUGAAGAAGGCCUUCGGGUUGUAAAGCCCUUUUGUUGGGAAAGAAAAGCAGCAGGUUAAUACCCCGCUGUUCUGACGGUACCCAAAGAAUAAGCACCGGCUAACUUCGUG
This 492-nucleotide ribosomal RNA is filed under the name uncultured bacterium. Its description in RNAcentral is "partial 16S ribosomal RNA". It matches the Rfam family "Bacterial small subunit ribosomal RNA", at positions 29 to 507 of the family's 1533-position model. The record is from RNAcentral.